UUGUAAUGAGGUUGGGCUAACAAGAAAAAUUGGUUUUUCCGGAAUGCAAAGUCCUUGAGUUAAGAGAGCUACCAUGAUAUUCAAAAUUUAAGCACAACUCUCUUUCUCACCAAUCUCACUCCUUCCCAACUUUUUCCCCUUUUCUUUUUCUUUUUCAUUGAGCUCCUCUUCAUGCUUUUCUUCUUUUCUUUUCAUUUUCUCAUGAAUUUUUCUUUUCACAACAUUCGAGCUCAAUGGUUUACAAUUGCUUUUCAAUUUUCUUCCAUACAACCCCAAACUUGAACCUUUUCA
RNAcentral lists this long non-coding RNA (291 nucleotides) under Vigna radiata. RNAcentral describes it as "long non-coding RNA (VRAD_LNC008437)". The record is from RNAcentral. Lineage: Eukaryota; Viridiplantae; Streptophyta; Magnoliopsida; Fabales; Fabaceae.